CGCAAUGAUCCCGGCCCAAAUCAUAACAAUUAAUUUUAGUUGAUUUUGGUUUGUUAGACGUUCAUCCUUCUCUUUUGUGAUUUCGCUGCUCUUGUUGCUCGAACGAUCAGCUGUCGGGAUCGUGAAGACCUUCGUCGAACCGGCUAAGUGAGUACAAAGUGUAACGAGAUUGCGAAAAGUUGGUUCUCGUCCGGCAAAUAUGAUAUGUACUUUCUUGUACUUGCGAGCGAUGGACACGGUAUCGGGACAUUGAACGCGCUCUUAUUUUCUCCAGUUUAACCGAGCGUAAUUGUCUGAACGUCGCGCGAUUGUGUGUUGCAUUGGGAUGGUUUCGGGUGUACAAUGAUGCACUCGUGAGCGGCGUUAAGUUGCGAGAAGAGCGCGACUUUGCGCCUAAGCAAACGGUGGUGUGAAUCGGGUCAGAUUCACAGGGUGAAAAAGAAGGUGCGCGAGUAGUUGAUCAGUGAGACGAGACCUAACGACACAUCGCGACGCGACGCGACAGCAACGUUGGUUUCUUUACAAUAUUCUCGCCGUGAAAAAAGAUGUCAACGCCAACUCAUAGAUGAUAAUCGCACCGUUAUUCUGAGCAAAAUACACGAAAAUGGCGUCCUCAGAAAUUGACGAUUUACUGGCCGGACCAUUGGUCACUUGGGUUGUCAGCUGUCUGGAGGAUCCUGAUGCAUUAGCAAAUUACGAAGACUUAGUAGAUGGUGUCUUGCUGCAUAGUGUCUUCCUACAAAUCAACCCAGAACCGCUGCAUGAUGAAGUUGUGCCUUCUGAUGGCAAUCCUGUUAUUCGUACAAAAAACUUGAAAACUAUAGUACAAAAUAUAAAACAAUUCUACGAAGAAGAGAUGGACAAUCUGAUUUUAAAGUUACCAGAUAUCACGAAUUUAGGAAAGGAACCUGAAUUGUAUAUAGCUGAUAUGAAGUUAUUGCUACUGUUAUUGCUUGGAUGUGCUGUCCAGUGUCCCAAUCAGGAAAAAUUUAUCAGCAAAAUAACAACUUUACAUCUUGAUACUCAACUUGCUAUAGUGGAUUGUAUCAAACAAAUUACAGACCAUCAAGAUAUAGUCAUUACACAGGAUGCUAUGGCAAAUGCAAAUAUGGGUUAUCUAUUUGUUCAGAUAAAAAAGUGGACUCAAGAAUUGGAUUUUUAUCGGGAGAAAUGGAGAGAUGCUGCGCUAGAUGAUAGUGUUGAACGAAAUGAAUCUUCAAGUAGUGCAUCUGAAGAAAUAAUCAAGGUGCAGCAAUCUCACCCUGUUACAAAGGCUGAAAGAGAAAAUAAUUACCACUAUGCAGUAGAAUUAGCCGAUUGGAAAUCUAAAGUCCGGAAACAACGUCAGGAAUUAGAAGAAAAGACAGAAGCUUUGCUUGAGUGUAAGGAAGAGCUCGAACAUAACAAAACAUUGCUCGUUAAACUGAGGCAAGAGAAUCAAGAAUUAAUGCACGAAGCUCGUGCUGCUAAAUCCUACAGAGAUGAAUUAGAUGCCAUGAUCGAACGAGCGGAACGAGCGGAUCGUUUAGAAAUAGAGGUUGCACGUUAUAGAGAAAAACUCACGGACAUUGAAUUCUAUAAAACUCGAAUAGAAGAAUUAAGGGAAGACAAUAGGGUUUUAAUGGAAACCAGAGAGAUGCUUGAGGAACAAUUAAGUUCGUCGAGAAAUAGAGCUGAUAAAGUGUUGGAACUUGAAUCUGAAAUCAUUAAGUAUAAACAAUUACUUAACGACAUGGUGCUGGAACGUGCUGCCGACAAAGAGAAAUAUCAAGAACUUGUCGAGGAGAAUACUCAAUUACAUCAAAUAACGAAAGCUGCUGCCAAUGAAGCUGCGUUAGCUGGAUCCAGUGAUUCAGAAGAGCCAGUGCCUGACGAGAACAGAUUGUCUGAACAAUUAACGAGCAAUGCUGAGAGGAGAGCGUUGAGACUAGAAUUGGAAAAUCGUCGUUUAAGUACAUUGAUCGAUUCGAUGAAGGAGACUUCGUUUCAUGAAAAUUCGUCUCACGUUCUGGAGCUAGAGAAAGAUAAAAAAAAGCUUUCGUUAAAAGUCGAGUCAUUGAACGAUAAUAACGAGAGGCUCACGCAACAAAACUCUGACUUGGAAUUGGUUUGCAAGCAAGCAUUGGAAGAAAAUAAGAAACUUCAAAAUAAUCUCAAGAAUCAACGUAUUUCCUCCGACAAACAACAACAAGAACUUCAAAUCCACCAUACAAAAAUAAUAGAACUGGAAAAAAGUUAUGACACAGCAGUGAAAGAAAAACAACGUGUUCAAUUGUUACUAGAAAGCGUGCGACGACGUGCUGACGAUUUAGAACGCACUUUAGAGACGACGAACCAAAAAGUCGAGGAACUGAAAGUUAUUGAGAACAACGUCAAUGAGAUCAAUUCUAAAUAUCUCGAUCUCGAAUCGAGACUAACAGCGACGGAGAAAGAAAAAGAUGUCGCACAACGUGAUAUUCAUAAAUAUAGAGAAACGAUCGAGGAAAAAGAUGUGGCCCUAGAUAAAGCGACAAAUACAAUCGAAGUCUUGGAGAGGAAAGUGCUGCAACUCGAACAGGAGCUACAAGAUUGCGUUACACAGAUAUCUAGGUGCGCACUGCAGGAAAUCGAGAGAAGUAGUAAAGAACUCGAUACGCGAGCUGCGAUUGAUAGAGAAACUCUAGAGAUACUUCAGUCUAAUCUUGUCGCGGAGAAACGAAGCAAUCAACAGUUGUUUACGAUUUUAGAAAAACUCGGCCUUAGCGACAAUAUGUUGUUAACCUUGUCUUUAGAAACUAUAAUGGAGAGAAUUUCCCAGUUACCAGAAAUAAUAAAUUACGUAAAGAAAUCGUCUCUCUCAGAGAACAGCUGCAACGAGAAAGCGAUAUCUGAAUCCAUCGAGAAAGAAAAUAGCAAUGAGCUGAAUAAAACCUUCGAAGCUAUAAUAGAACCUCUGAAGCGCGAGGUGGAACAACUGCAGAUGAAGUCGUCCAUGUCUCAAACGGCCUCGGAACAUUUGUUAUCCGAGAACGCGAAACUUCAGGUUCACAUCACAACGUUACAGUCGCAAACCAAUUCGUUAAACGCGCAACACACCGCUCUACAACUGGCAAAUUCACAAUUAGUCGCUGAAAAAGAAGAGCUUUUGAAGGAACGCAACACGCAACAGCAGGUUCAUUCGGCGCUACUCCGUGAUCAAAGCACUAUGCAGUCGUUGCACGAACAACUGAACAACGAGUAUGAGAUUUUGCGCCAUGAACGUGACUCUCUUAAAUCAAAUCUGAGAGACGCGAGGAACGAGAAUAGAACAUUGCGCGAGACUGUCGAGCGACUGGAGACAAAGAGCGAAGCGUUGCAAUCUGAACGGGAAGCUUUCGUCAACAACACGAGAAGCUUAAAUAAUCUUCGAGGAGAACACUCUAAGUUGAAGGAUGAUUUCAGAAAUCUGUAUACUGCAAGCGAAAGAUUGAAGGCGGAAUACAGAAACUUGCAGGAAGAUUAUAGAAAGAAUAAAGUCGAGGUGAAUCGCUUGAGUCUAAAGCAGACUGAGAUGCAGGGAGAGCUUAGUAUUAAAGACGAACGGUGCUCGGACUUGGAGGCAGAAGUUAAUCAUCUCAAUGAACGAUGUGAGAUGUUAUUAGAGAUGAAUUCUGGAUUGGAUAAUGACAGGCGUUCCUUAAUGGAGCAUAUAAGUUUAUUAUUUACACAGUAUCAUGAACUUUUGACGCAUUCGCUUCAAGAUAAGGAACAUUACCACAUGGAGGAGAAAAUGUUCACGGAUAAAGUUAAUCAGUUGUAUAGACAGAAAGAGAAGUUGGAGGACAAAAUAAUGGAACACUACAGGAAACUGAACAGCUGUACCACCAAAAAGAAAAGUUUCGGAGCCAAUUUAGUUCGUAGAGUCAGAAAAGCCGGAUCGGAACUCCUAAAUAAGAAUCGCCGUUCAUGGGCUGAAGAUUCCAAGCAAUCGGACUGUAAGACUUACGAGUCAGAUACAGCCGGGAACGAUUCGGAUGCCAGCACCGACGAUUACCGUUUACCUGGACCGAGCAGAAUUCUCGGGUCAGACGCUCUCGGACAUGCCGGGACCAGAAGAACGGUGUACUAUACCGACGAUUCUCCACCGUCAUCCACUUCUUUGCCGGCGGACAGACUACUGGGCGAAUCCUAUCAAGAACAAGGAGACGAUGGACAGCAUGCCGCGCAGAUGGAACCGAAUUUGAAAUCGGAAACUCAGCAAGUAGAGUCGCGUCCCUUUCUAAUCUAUAACAAAGUGUCGGCGGUCAUAAACGAGUCCAAGAGCGUUAGUGGUACUCCGAUGAAGGAUGUGGUACAGGACGAAGCGCUCACGGAAUCGCCCGCUGAUAAAGAGCCAAAGACUGGAAGUCCGAUAUGGUACGAAUAUGGUUGUGUAUAAACAAACUCUCAUACUGCCCACACAUGAUGCUUCCAUUAGUAUAUUCAAGGAAAAAUAUAGGGUGUCUCUAUACAUAUAUCUCAUAAUUGCGAGUGUAAUGCCAAAUUAAUUGCUUGGGGUGUGCAAGUCUCUGCGUGUGCACGACUAUGCACGUAAUUCGGCUGUUUACGUAAAUAGGCGUUCUCGAAGCCUAUGACGCUUUGUUUUUCGCCUCUAAUCGUUCCAAGUCCUGCGAUUAUUUGCUUUCGUUUUCCAUACAUCGUGGAUGUUCUCUUGUUUUCGUUUUCACUUAAAGUUGUAAUAGAGCAGGUUAUUUUCGAUGGAUCGUUAUUGAGCCAUUCUGAUUCGUAUUUCAAGGAUUUCUAUUUAAAGUCUUUUGUAAGUCUUUGGAUGUGGUUUUCGUCACUGCGAAACUACGCUUAAUUUUUGUCUAUUGUGACUGCAUACGCGUAGUCCCUGUUCUUCGUACCACACUUCAUUCUUAUUUUUUUUUCUAUUAUCUCAAUUUAUCGUAAAAUGGCGUUUGGGAAUUCGCCUUAAUAGGCGCUGUUAGCCAAUACUGAAGAAAGGAAAGAUCUCUAUUUCAGAAUUCUGUGUUCUCAGAGUCAGAAAUAGAUAUUAUUAUUAAAUUCUAUUAAAGAGCGUCUUGACCGUGAUUUGGAAAUUUUGCGAGCACCUGCACAUCCCUAUCAUUUUAUACUCUAUGAACGAACAAAAAAAGAGACAAACGCAACGUAAAUUACAUGCCUGUUCAAACGAGAUCGACAAAAAAGCGAAAAAGUAUUACGUAUACUAAAGAUUUUUUACCUUUUAAUAUCGUGGACAAAUUUGCGCAUGUAAUUGGAAAUUACAAAGAAAUGACAUUACAAAGUAGAUUUAAGAAUAGAGCGCCUACGAGUUCCUAGAAAGCUUUCGUGCUAAAUCGACGUAUAGUCGUAACGUGAAUCGAAUUGACGUUCGUCGUUGAUGAUUUACGCAAUUCGAAAAUUAUUCGUCUAACGUGUUCUUUUUUAUAUUUUCACUGUUUCUAUAUUUUACACUUUUAAUUCGUUAUUCUUCUUUCGAUUAGGAUUUUUAGUGAAUUUGCAUGAAAGAUAACGCAUUUUGAUUUUAUUUCGACAUUGAGAUAAAUUUUAAAAAGCUUUGAACUAAGAUUAAUGUCUCGAUUUCACGGUCGCCUGGUGCUAUUUCUUAUUACGAAAUAAGGUUCGAUUAUAUAAAUGUACAAUUUCACAUGAAACAUGAUGCAGGUAGGACUUAUUUUAUUCAAGAAAAUAUCUUUCAUGUAUAUUCACCGAAUAUUUUAACGAUAAAUUUUAUUCUUUUUUUUAUUCUCUUUAUUCAUGUGAAGAGAAAAGCUCUCGGGGAAAAAGAAUUCAUGAGCGAUGAAUGAUCUCGAGAAAUUGACAGUCAAGAUACCGAGUAACAAAGUUACAGCUGCUUUAACAACAUUGUGCUCGACUUGAUGUAACGCUUACCCGGUUCUAUUUUUACUCGCAAAUGUAAUACGAAACUAUUGGGUCGAGUAAAAAGUAAUUUCGUAUUUUGUGGACAGAUGGCAUUAAGAAGUGUUUAGUGCAAUCUUUACCCAAUAUCUGACACCAUAUAUUUUUUUGAAAGAUUAAGUUUUCUUGCGUAUUUUAAGCUGUUAUUUGUCAAAGUUCGUUCAGUAAUUUUUAUUUGGCGACAUUGUAAACAUGGAGCAAAAUAAGCAAUAUUUUCGGUGUUUGAUGCUUUUCUAUUUUCGCAAAGGGAAAAAUACGACACAAACCAAAAAAAAAAGAUAUGUGCCGUGUAUGGAGAAGAUGCUGUAAGCGAACAUGUAUGCCAAAACUGGUUUGCGAAAUUUCGUGCUGGCGAUAUGAUAUGUUAAGAUUGUGAGCGCUCAGAGAUAAUCAACAUAUCUCAGAGGACCGUUGUGAACCACUUGCACACGCUUAGCUCCGUGUCUCGGUACAAUAUUUGGAUACCUCACAAUUUGAACGAAAAAAAAUUUAAUGAACCGCAUCUCCAUUUGCGAUUUAUUGCUCAAACGCAAUAAAAACGUUUCAUUUCUAAAACGGAUGAUAACGGGCGACGAAAAGUGGAUUGUGUAUAACAAUGUAGAGCGCAAAAGAUCGUAGGGAAAAGAAGAUGAACCGCCGCAAACCACACCGAAGCAAAACAUCCAUGCGAAAAAAGUCACGCUGUGUAUUUAGUGGGAUUGGAAAGGUAUCGUGUACUACGAGUUGCUUCCGCAAACAAUUGAUUCCAACAAUGAUUGUUCCCAAUUGAACUACUUAAAAGCAGCAAUCGAUGAGAAGCGUCCGGAAUUGAGCAAUCGUUAUGGUAUUAUUAUAUUCCACCAAGCCAACACUAGACCGCACGUAUCUUUGGCAACUCAGCAAAAAUUAUUGCAGCUUAGCUGAAAUGUCUUACCUCAUUCUCCGUAUUCACCUGACCUGACAUCAUCAAACGUCCACUUAUUCAGAUCUCUGCAGAAUUUCCUCAAUGGAAAAAAUUUUAUUUCUUUAGAGGCCUGCAAAAAGCAUCUUGAGCAGUUUUUUGCUCAAAAAACGAGGAAGUUUUGGAGGAUCGAAUCUUUAAAUUGUCUGAAAGAUGACGAAAGGUUAUUGGACUAAAUAGUGCAUAUAUUGCUCACUAAAGGCAUUUUUUAAUACAAAAAUAUCUUUCAAUUUCAUCUAAAAAUACUAAAUUACUUUUUACUCAACCCAAUAUAUAAGAUUUCGUUGAGAAGUUUUUGCGUACGCAGCUAUCUAACGUCGCAUUAUCUACUGUUGAUAGGUAGAUAGGAUUCUUACGCUUAUUUUCCGGGAAUGUAAGAUGCAAUUAUUUUCUUCUCCCAUAGAAAAGCCAAGACUAACGUAGAGAUAUAAACAAAGUGUCAUGCAGGUAACAAAGGCACAAACUUGCAUUUGCUUUUUACAUUUGUAUCGAUUACCUCUUCGUCACAAGACACUUUAACGCGGUGUAAGUUAUAUAGGCUACUUUUUUAUAUUUCGAUAACUUAUAUUUUUAUAAUAAUUUUGUGUGUACGUAUUAGGUGUGUAAGUAGGUAAUUUAAUAUAAGCGAUAUACACACACACACCUGUCUUCUAUGUCUUAAAAAUAUCCCAUACGUGCUGAGAUUUUUUAUGUAAUGCUACACUUAUAUAAUGAGAUAUCGCGAGUAACACAUCCUUCAUUUAAAUCGUGUACUUGCUAUUUCCACUCGACUAUCGUCUUCUAAUACGUCUUUCCGCAGGUUAAAAUAUGGUACCGAUAUGUGAUAUAAUCUGUAAUUACAAUCUCGUUAUAUAUCGUAUGUUAAAUAAAAAAAAAUAUAAUAAAAGAGAGAGAAAGAAAAAGGGAGAG
This 7750-nucleotide unclassified non-coding RNA is filed under the name Harpegnathos saltator (Jerdon's jumping ant). Its description in RNAcentral is "girdin, transcript variant X2". Lineage: Eukaryota; Metazoa; Arthropoda; Insecta; Hymenoptera; Formicidae. The record is from RNAcentral.